AUAAAAAAAAUCAUAAAAAUAAAUUUUAUCAAGAAAUUUAUAAAAAAAAUUAGUCUGCCAUAUAAUUGUUUUUAAUUAAAAUUAAUAUUUGUAAAGAAGAUAAUUGAGUUGAUUGUUUUCAUAGAAUUAAAUCACACGUAAAGUCACCGAAUGGAAAAGUGUUUUCACAUUAUGCGUGAAUUAUUUUAAAAAUUAUAUAAAUAAAUUGUUUAAUAGAUUAAAUAUAAUACAUAUAUACUAGUGCUAUUGAGGAAAGUGAAAAAUCUAUUUUUAAGCUUUUUUUUUUAAUUUUUA
Molecule: unclassified non-coding RNA, 294 nt
Filed under: Hevea brasiliensis (rubber tree)
Lineage: Eukaryota; Viridiplantae; Streptophyta; Magnoliopsida; Malpighiales; Euphorbiaceae
Source: RNAcentral